UGCUCCACCGGAAAAAGAAGAGUGGCGAACGGGUGAGUAACACGUGGGUAACCUGCCCAUCAGAAGGGGAUAACACUUGGAAACAGGUGCUAAUACCGUAUAACAAUCAAAACCGCAUGGUUUUGAUUUGAAAGGCGCUUUCGGGUGUCGCUGAUGGAUGGACCCGCGGUGCAUUAGCUAGUUGGUGAGGUAACGGCUCACCAAGGCCACGAUGCAUAGCCGACCUGAGAGGGUGAUCGGCCACAUUGGGACUGAGACACGGCCCAAACUCCUACGGGAGGCAGCAGUAGGGAAUCUUCGGCAAUGGACGAAAGUCUGACCGAGCAACGCCGCGUGAGUGAAGAAGGUUUUCGGAUCGUAAAACUCUGUUGUUAGAGAAGAACAAGGAUGAGAGUAACUGUUCAUCCCUUGACGGUAUCUAACCAGAAAGCCACGGCUAACUACGUGCCAGCAGCCGCGGUAAUACGUAGGUGGCAAGCGUUGUCCGGAUUUAUUGGGCGUAAAGCGAGCGCAGGCGGUUUCUUAAGUCUGAUGUGAAAGCCCCCGGCUCAACCGGGGAGGGUCAUUGGAAACUGGGAGACUUGAGUGCAGAAGAGGAGAGUGGAAUUCCAUGUGUAGCGGUGAAAUGCGUAGAUAUAUGGAGGAACACCAGUGGCGAAGGCGGCUCUCUGGUCUGUAACUGACGCUGAGGCUCGAAAGCGUGGGGAGCAAACAGGAUUAGAUACCCUGGUAGUCCACGCCGUAAACGAUGAGUGCUAAGUGUUGGAGGGUUUCCGCCCUUCAGUGCUGCAGCUAACGCAUUAAGCACUCCGCCUGGGGAGUACGACCGCAAGGUUGAAACUCAAAGGAAUUGACGGGGGCCCGCACAAGCGGUGGAGCAUGUGGUUUAAUUCGAAGCAACGCGAAGAACCUUACCAGGUCU
This 922-nucleotide ribosomal RNA is filed under the name Enterococcus faecium. RNAcentral describes it as "bacterial SSU rRNA". It matches the Rfam family "Bacterial small subunit ribosomal RNA", at positions 73 to 981 of the family's 1533-position model. The record is from RNAcentral. Lineage: Bacteria; Bacillati; Bacillota; Bacilli; Lactobacillales; Enterococcaceae.